This 253-nucleotide ribosomal RNA is filed under the name uncultured bacterium. Its description in RNAcentral is "partial 16S ribosomal RNA". It matches the Rfam family "Bacterial small subunit ribosomal RNA", at positions 524 to 776 of the family's 1533-position model. The record is from RNAcentral.
UACGUAGGGGGCGAGCGUUGUCCGGAAUCAUUGGGCGUAAAGCGCGUGUAGGCGGCUCGAUAAGUCCGGUGUGAAAUCUUGGGGCUCAACCCCAAGCCUGCACUGGAUACUGUCGAGCUUGAGUCCGGGAGGGGAGAGCGGAAUUCCUAGUGUAGCGGUGAAAUGCGCAGAUAUCGGGAGGAACACCCGUAGCGAAGGCGGCACUCUGGGCCGGUACUGACGCUGAGGAGCGAAAGCGUGGGGAGCAAACAGG